Molecule: long non-coding RNA, 3580 nt
Filed under: Carassius auratus (goldfish)
Lineage: Eukaryota; Metazoa; Chordata; Actinopteri; Cypriniformes; Cyprinidae
Description: lncRNA (ENSCARG00000057656.1)
Source: RNAcentral
GUGUCAGAGCAGCUUUACAGUGUCAAACAGGAAAAUAGUUUGACAAUAAUGCAAGAGGACAACAACAAAGAGUCAUUUUUUUGUCAGUUCAUUGAUGAUUCGGUGAUGUCAUCAUCUAAUUCAGCUCUCUUACAAUAAUGUCUGUGCAAUCAGUCAAGUGUCCCUAACUAAGCAAGGCAAAGGCAACAGUGGCAAGAAACCAAAACUCCACUGGUGACAGAAAUGGAGAAAAAUACCUUGUGAGAAACCAGGGUCAGUUUGGGGACCAGUUCUCUUCAGGCCAGACAAAACCAGCAUGGCAUGGUUUAAUUCCAGGCUGCAACACACAUUAGAUUGUUUAGAGGACUUGUCUGGUUGCCGUGGUCUUGUGCCGAUGGUCGUCAAGGUGAUGAGGACAACCAGCCCUGCUGGCUUUAGGAUACUUCCUGGGAGGAAUUCCUGGCAGUGGAUACUUCAUCCAGCAAUCGCCAAAGGGUUAUCUGUUCUCACGGUCGGUGAUGGUGUGACAGACGCAUCUCUCAUGCUCUGAUCUUCCCGAGGGGGAGCCACUGAGGAUUAGCUGGCGGAUGAUGCAUCAGGGGGAGGAGGAAAGGCCGUGUUUAUCUGCUGUCCCUGUGUCACAGAGAGCUUCUGAGGAGCAUUCAGCUGCCAACGGCAUCAGCGGGCCUCAGUCAUCCAGCUGUUCACCUCACUGCCACAGCUAAAGUGAUGAGUCCCAGCCUUCCUUUUCAGGUAGAUAGCACAGUUUCCUCGCUCUAAUUGCCCGCUAGCCCAAUUCCCUAGUUUGGGCUAAACCUUCUUGGAGUCUGUAAUAGGUGGAAGUACAGUGUUACGUGAGAGGUCUCUGCCAAGCUGCAUUUCAUCCUUUCCCUGUGCAGCUAGAACUAAUGAAGAGAAAUAGCUGCCAUUGUUGGUCCCCGUGCUCACUGCAUGUCACUUAGAGGAGAAAUCUAUUCAUUCAAUUAUAAGAGCUGUCUGACAAUGUGGCUCAGCAGAGGUUUCUCAUUGUGUAAAGUAUGAUCAGUAUUUUAAAAAGCAUUUUACAAGUACAACUGAGGGUUUUACCAGUAUAAUAUAGCUUCUUACCCAUGUGCUGUAGUGCAAUGUAGAGAGUCAGGGUUUGGCAGGGUAGCCUGGCUUUUUUUUUUUUUUUGGUGCCAUCCACUGAUCAGUCAUAGUGUCAUUUUAGUUUGGGACAUAUACCGUAAUUAGGUGAAGAACCAAGCGCCUUCAAGCUGACAUGACAGCUAGCCUUAUUAUUAUUAUUAUUAUUAUUAUUAUUAUUAUUUACCAAAGCUAUUUUCAGUGGUCAGUCAUGAGUUCAUUAUUCUGUGAAGGAAAUUGGAGGUCAAUAAGAUAAACUGUGUAGCAUUCAGCUGGUUCUGAGAUCUCAAUAAACCCCCCAUAGAAAUGUUUUAAUUAGGAAAAAAGGUACUGGGUUGUUUUUGGUUUUGUUUUGUUUAGUUUUUCUUCAUUUUUUGAUGCCAGCUUGCUAAUACAGUUCAGGUAGAGACUUAUUAUCAAGUUGUAUGCUUCUGUGAUUUUAUGGACAAAUAAAGCAGGCAGAAAUGACAGCUGGUGUUCAAAGGUUUGCUUGGCUUGUCAAAUACAAGCCAAUUGGACGCAUUACUUUAUGGAAAUUCAAGCAAGGGGAAGGUGCCUGCGAUACCAUAAACAGGAUUAGGAGCUUUUGUUUCCUUUGCUGUCAGAGCCAGUGGUGUCCUGUAGAGAGAGAUCUAAUUGAACGUGUCCGGCUGAGGCUGCAUUAGACCUGUUACAGACUGUUCUUUAGUGUCUGUUGUGGGAGUUGUAAUCAAACAUUAAUUAGUAGGCCCACCUGUUUACAGACAGAUCAGCUAAGAUGCCCUUUUACCAUGUGAAGAUUUGGGGAUGAUCAGUAUUCCUUGCUGUGUUCAAGCUUUUCAGGCACAGUGGUCACUAUUCUGUUCAAACAUGAGCCAAAUGUACCAAAGACAAAAAUGUGACUGUGAUACAACUGAUGUUAUAUUAAUAAUAAUAAUAAUAAUAAUAAUAAUAAUAAUAAUAAUAAUAAUAAUAAUAAUAGCUUGAAUAGAAAACCUUAAAUAAUUAUGUGUAAUCAUAUUAAAAUGUUACUGUAAAUAUGUGAAAUAAAUAAAUGUAUAAACUUACGUAUAAAUGCAGAAAGCAACUUAAAACAGGAAAUCACCGAAGGGGACUCAUAUGUUUCUUAAUAUCAGAUGCCAUUCUAUUAAAGAAAUUCUAUUAAAAAUUAUUUUAAAAACAUAUUAUGCAGAACAGUUCAAUUAUUAUUAAUAAUUAAAUAUUAUAUAAUUUGAAAAUAUUUAGCAGAUAUUGUUCAUGAAUUCCCAUUUUGAGGUCAGUUAGUACUAGGUUUAUACAGGUCCUUCUAAAAAAAUUAGCGUAUUGUGAUAAAGUUCAUUAUUUUCCAUAAUGUAAUGCUAAAAAUUAAACUUUCAUAUAUUUUAGAUUCAUUGCACCCAAACUAAAAUAUUUCAGGUCUUUUAUUGUUUUAAUACUGAUGAUUUUGGCAUACAGUGUCACGUGGGGGGGGGGGGGGUGUAAGGGAUGAACUCAAUCGCAGACAGGAUGCACAACACACAGGAUUUAUUAUCAACAAAAAGGGGAAAACAAUGACUAGGGCAAGGACAGAUAAUCUAACAAGACUAGGUAGACAUGAUAAACAAAAAGACUCUUAACACAAGAACUCUAACUACAAGUAAACAAUCACAAGACUCACAACGUAUCUUCAAACUGUCACAAUAAGUAGCAAAGUGUAACAAUAACAAUGAACCGCCCAGGAUAGUGAACACAAGGGGAUAUAAGUAGGGAGACUAAUCAUAACACAACAGGUGACACAGGUAAAGCAAUAAUGACCAAGAUUAAGAUAACAAGGGGGCUGGGCAAGGGAAACGAGACAACACAAGCACAUGGCCCAAAGACAAGGCCAUGUGCUUGUACACAAAACACGGGCCUGUCAUGAUCCUGCCUCAAGACUAGAGGAAAAUCAGGACAUGAAGGCAAAAUCAUGACAUACAGCUCAUGAAAACCCAAAAAUCCUAUCUCAAAAAAUUUGCAUAUCAUGAAAAGGUUCUCUAAACGAGCUAUUAACCUAAUCAUCUGAAUCAACUAAUUAACUCUAAACACCUGCAAAAGAUUCCUGAGGCUUUUAAAAACUCCCAGCCUGGUUCAUUACUCAAAACCGGAAUCAUGCUUAAGACUGCCGACCUGACUGCUGUCCAGAAGGCCAUCAUUGACACCCUCAAGCGAGAGGGUAAGACACAGAAAGAAAUUUCUGAACGAAUAGGCUGUUCCCAGAGUGCUGUAUCAAGGCACCUCAGUGGGAAGUCUGUGGGAAGGAAAAAGUGUGGCAAAAAAACGCUGCACAACGAGAAGAGGUGACUGGACCCUUAAGGAAGAUUGUGGAGAAGGACCGAUUCCAGACCUUGGGGGACCUGCGGAGGCAGUGGACUGAGUCUGGAGUAGAAACAUCCAGAGCAACCGUGCACAGGCGUGUGCAGGAAAGGGGCUACAGAGAAGCAGCACUGGACUGUUGCUCAGUGGUCCAAAGUACUUUUUU